This 253-nucleotide ribosomal RNA is filed under the name uncultured bacterium. Its description in RNAcentral is "partial 16S ribosomal RNA". It matches the Rfam family "Bacterial small subunit ribosomal RNA", at positions 524 to 776 of the family's 1533-position model. The record is from RNAcentral.
UACGUAGGUGGCAAGCGUUGUCCGGAUUUACUGGGUGUAAAGGGCGUGCAGCCGGGCUGACAAGUCAGAUGUGAAAUCCCGCGGCUCAACCGCGGAACUGCAUUUGAAACUGUCAGUCUUGAGUACCGGAGAGGUCAUCGGAAUUCCUUGUGUAGCGGUGAAAUGCGUAGAUAUAAGGAAGAACACCAGUGGCGAAGGCGGAUGACUGGACGGCAACUGACGGUGAGGCGCGAAAGCGUGGGUAGCAAACAGG